RNAcentral lists this ribosomal RNA (255 nucleotides) under Micromonospora sp. ISOM214_OTU978. Its description in RNAcentral is "partial 16S ribosomal RNA". It matches the Rfam family "Bacterial small subunit ribosomal RNA", at positions 29 to 289 of the family's 1533-position model. The record is from RNAcentral. Lineage: Bacteria; Bacillati; Actinomycetota; Actinomycetes; Micromonosporales; Micromonosporaceae.
ACGAACGCUGGCGGCGUGCUUAACACAUGCAAGUCGAGCGGAAAGGCCCUUCGGGGUACUCGAGCGGCGAACGGGUGAGUAACACGUGAGUAACCUGCCCUAGGCUUUGGGAUAACCCUCGGAAACGGGGGCUAAUACCGAAUAUGACUGCUGGUCGCAUGACUGGUGGUGGAAAGUUUUUCGGCCUGGGAUGGACUCGCGGCCUAUCAGCUUGUUGGUGGGGUAAUGGCCUACCAAGGCGACGACGGGUAGCCG